Long non-coding RNA from Hibiscus syriacus, 548 nucleotides. RefSeq lists it as uncharacterized. The transcript has 2 exons. The record is from RefSeq and is a predicted model, not a curated record. Lineage: Eukaryota; Viridiplantae; Streptophyta; Magnoliopsida; Malvales; Malvaceae.
UUUGUAUUUUUUUUUUGGUUUCUUAAGAGAGGGAGAGAAAAAGUUCACAAAUUCUCUCUAGUUCCCCUCAUCGGAGGCAUGGCCACUGUUCACCGGUGCAUAAGACCCUAAAAUGCUCAUUUCCACUUCCUCAACCUGAAUCUAUGGCUACCAGUGCAUAAGACCCACCCUAGAAACUUAGAUCUAACAUUAUACCUUUCGAAAUCUAUGAAAUCCAGCCUCCCUUCGGCUUCCCAACGAACUCUGAAUCAAGUGUUUUUUGAUUUGGCUGGAUUUAUCGAGAACGAAGAUAGUGACGGGAACAUGUAGCGGUAGCAACGGUAGAGAGGGCUCUUCUUCUUUGCUGGCGGCGGUGGUGGCAGGUGGAGAGUGUCAUCACUUGCGAUUUUCAGCAAAGCCUAAAGUAUUUUUGGUUAAUUGGGCUCUGCUAGUUGGGCCUCUUUUUGGGUUGUAUCGUUUGGGCCACCGGCCCGUUUGUAAUUGCUUUUGGGCUGCCAUGUUUGUAACCUGUUAACAAAUAAAUAAAAGUUAAUAAAUGUAUUUUAUUU